This 253-nucleotide ribosomal RNA is filed under the name uncultured bacterium. RNAcentral describes it as "partial 16S ribosomal RNA". It matches the Rfam family "Bacterial small subunit ribosomal RNA", at positions 524 to 776 of the family's 1533-position model. The record is from RNAcentral.
UACGUAGUGUGCAAGCGUUAAUCGGAAUUACUGGGCGUAAAGCGUGCGCAGGCGGUUUUGUAAGUCUGAUGUGAAAUCCCCGGGCUCAACCUGGGAAUUGCAUUGGAGACUGCAAGGCUAGAAUCUGGCAGAGGGGGGUAGAAUUCCACGUGUAGCAGUGAAAUGCGUAGAGAUGUGGAGGAACACCGAUGGCGAAGGCAGCCCCCUGGGUCAAGAUUGACGCUCAUGCACGAAAGCGUGGGGAGCAAACAGG